RNAcentral lists this long non-coding RNA (654 nucleotides) under Parus major (Great Tit). Its description in RNAcentral is "lncRNA (ENSPMJG00000010746.1)". Lineage: Eukaryota; Metazoa; Chordata; Aves; Passeriformes; Paridae. The record is from RNAcentral.
CACCACUGUUUUGUUUUCAAAUUACUGUUUUCUUUUCCUCAGUCAUAUAUUUCCCUUCUAAUACCCUUGUUUUCUAGCAUAUAAGAGAAGCAUAUUGAACUUGUGGCCUUGUUGCUAGGUUUCAAGCUGCAUUUAUGCAGUCUACUGAGACAUUCUUCUCAUUUUUGAAUUCUGAAUCAAGUCCCAAGGCAACAGUGCCCUGUUUCUUAGCAACACAGAUGGGUAGACUGCAUAUUCCAGCUCUUUUGUACAAUGGAAGAAUAAACAAUUCCCUGAGUAAGUGUGUGCUGCAAGUCCAUUGCUUCACUUAAUUUCACAGAGAAGAGAGGAAAGGGAAGCUUUCUGUGGUACAGCAGAUGAAGUUUGUCUUGAAGUCCCUCUCUUUGCAGAGUGGUUACCCCAGCGCUCCUUUAAUCUGAAGUUAAAACCACGGCAUUUAAACAUAGAUCCUGAACUUGAACCACUGAAAGGAAAGCAAAAGGACUCUGACAGGAGAUUUUUUACAUACAAGCCUUAUGAAAGCAAGUGGGAUCCACAGAUGCUACUGCCAAAGAGUCCCUGGCCACCUACAUCUGCUUUAUUACUGAGGCCUUUUCUUAGCUGGAAGAAGUCAGUCAAGGAAGUAUCUGUCAUGCUGAUUGUACUAAAAUUGUG